This 389-nucleotide ribosomal RNA is filed under the name uncultured bacterium. Its description in RNAcentral is "bacterial SSU rRNA". It matches the Rfam family "Bacterial small subunit ribosomal RNA", at positions 28 to 416 of the family's 1533-position model. The record is from RNAcentral.
GAUGAACGCUGGCGGCGUGCUUAACACAUGCAAGUCGAACGGUGAAGCCCAGCUUGCUGGGUGGAUCAGUGGCGAACGGGUGAGUAACACGUGAGCAAUCUGCCCCCUGACUCUGGGAUAAGCGCUGGAAACGGCGUCUAAUACUGGAUAUGAACCGUGGAGGCAUCUUCAACGGUUGGAAAGAUUUUUGGUCAGGGAUGAGCUCGCGGCCUAUCAGCUUGUUGGUGAGGUAAUGGCUCACCAAGGCGUCGACGGGUAGCCGGCCUGAGAGGGUGACCGGCCACACUGGGACUGAGACACGGCCCAGACUCCUACGGGAGGCAGCAGUGGGGAAUAUUGCACAAUGGGCGCAAGCCUGAUGCAGCAACGCCGCGUGAGGGAUGACGGCC